CCUGAGGACUGUAAUUGGAAUGAGUACACUCUUAAUAUCGUUUAACAAGGACCAAUUGGAGCGAUAGAGGGGGUGCCAGCAGCCGCGGUAAUUCCAGCUCCAAUAGCAUUAUAUGGAAAGUUGUUGCGGUUAAAACGUUCGUAGUUGAACUUGUGCUUCAUACGGGUAGUACAACUUACAAUUGUGGUUAGUACUAUACCUUUAUGUAUGUAAGCGUAUUACCGGUGGAGUUCUUAUAUGUGAUUAAAUACUUGUAUUUUUUCAUAUGUUCCUCCUAUUUAAAAACCUGCACUAGUGCUCUUAAACGAGUGUUAUUGUGGGCCGGUACUAUUACUUUGAACAAAUUAGAGUGCUUAAAGCAGGCUUCAAAUGCCUGAAUAUUCUGUGCAUGGGAUAAUGAAAUAAGACCUCUGUUCUGCUUUCAUUGGUUUUCAGAUCAAGAGGUAAUGAUUAAUAGAAGCAGUUUGGGGGCAUUAGUAUUACGACGCGAGAGGUGAAAUUCUUGGACCGUCGUAAGACUAACUUAAGCGAAAGCAUUUGCCAAAGAUGUUUUCAUUAAUCAAGAACGAAAGUUAGAGGUUCGAAGGCGAUCAGAUACCGCCCUAGUUCUAACCAUAAACGAUGCCAGCUAGCAAUUGGGUGUAGCUACUUUUAUGGCUCUCUCAGUCGCUUCCCGGGAAACCAAAGCUUUUGGGCUCCGGGGGAAGUAUGGUUGCAAAGCUGAAACUUAAAGGAAUUGACGGAAGGGCACCACCAGGAGUGGAGCCUGCGGCUUAAUUUGACUCAACACGGGAAAACUUACCAGGUCCGAACAUAAGUGUGUAAGACAGAUUGAUAGCUCUUUCUCGAAUCUAUGGGUGGUGGUGCAUGGCCGUUCUUAGUUCGUGGAGUGAUUUGUCUGGUUAAUUCCGAUAACGAACGAGACUCAAAUAUAUUAAAUAGAUAUCUUCAGGAUUAUGGUGCUGAAGCUUAUGUAGCCUCAUUCAUGGUGGCAGUAAAUGUUUAUUGUGUUGAUGUGUUUAUGUAGUGGAGCCGUACCUGUUGUUUGUCCAUAUAAGGACCUACUUCUUAAGGACAAUGCCCCACCAUAUGAAAUGACAAAACAGUCGUGAUCCCU
Molecule: non-coding RNA, 1117 nt
Filed under: Drosophila simulans
Lineage: Eukaryota; Metazoa; Arthropoda; Insecta; Diptera; Drosophilidae
Description: Eukaryotic small subunit ribosomal RNA
Rfam family: Eukaryotic small subunit ribosomal RNA
Source: Rfam by way of RNAcentral